This 260-nucleotide ribosomal RNA is filed under the name uncultured Haemophilus sp. RNAcentral describes it as "partial 16S ribosomal RNA". It matches the Rfam family "Bacterial small subunit ribosomal RNA", at positions 75 to 339 of the family's 1533-position model. Lineage: Bacteria; Pseudomonadati; Pseudomonadota; Gammaproteobacteria; Pasteurellales; Pasteurellaceae. The record is from RNAcentral.
CUUGCUUCUUUGAUGACGAGUGGCGGACGGGUGAGUAAUGCUUGGGAAUCUAGCUUAUGGAGGGGGAUAACUACGGGAAACUGUAGCUAAUACCGCGUAGUAUCGAGAGAUGAAAGUGUGGGACCUUCGGGCCACAUGCCAUAGGAUGAGCCCAAGUGGGAUUAGGUAGUUGGUGAGGUAAAGGCUCACCAAGCCGACGAUCUCUAGCUGGUCUGAGAGGAUGACCAGCCACACUGGGACUGAGACACGGCCCAGACUCC